Molecule: non-coding RNA, 8387 nt
Organism: Pantherophis guttatus
Lineage: Eukaryota; Metazoa; Chordata; Lepidosauria; Squamata; Colubridae
Source: RefSeq, a predicted model, not a curated record
CCGCUACCUGAAAAACACAGCACUAAAGGGGUUAAAAAAGCUUCUCUGAAAUAUGCAGGGAGGAAAUCAGACUGAAUUGGGGAGGAGAAUUACUUGUACAGCACACGCCUUGUCAGUAAGUACGGCUCUCAGCCCUCGGAUGCAACGAGACAGUCAGAAGGCAGUGGGCAGCAUCACUGGCCACUGAUCAAGCCAGCAUCCCUUGAGUUGACUCUGGACAGGGAGGCAUUGCAAUGGCACCAGUAGGCUAAUGGUGUCCUGGGAUAUAUGUGACCCUGUUGCUGUGAUUCUGCCAUCCCACUGUCGUGUUUGCUAGUCACCCAGGGAGCAGGCAAAGGGAGAUGCAGUUUGGAAAUGAGUGCUGCUAAGCAGGAAACCCAGUGUCAGACGGCCGCACGAAUUGUCACUGACCUAUGUCGCCAGAAGAGCCUGCCCCAGCUGGACCUGGAAACCUGCAAAGAAUUUCUCCUUUUUCCCGACCUGAACGGCCCAGAGCCAGAACUCUCCAUCAGUCUUCUUGCAGUGAUAGUAAUUGUAUGCGGACUGGCUCUAGUGGCAGUUUUUCUAUUCCUUUUUUGGAAGCUGUGUUGGGUUCCUUGGAGGAACAAAUCUAUUUCAACUAACACCCCCACCACUCAGAAUUUGGCAGAGCACGACAAAGACAAUAUGGCUGACAAGCUAAAAGAUACUGGGACUCUUGGAUUCUUGGAAGCAGCAGUAAAAAUCAGUCACACUUCACCAGAUAUCCCAGCAGAAGUUCAAAUGUCUAUGAAAGAUCAUCUCAUGCGACGCACACGAAUGCAGAGACAAACAACAGAACCUGCGUCUUCCACCAGGCACAUUUCUUUCAAGAGGCACCUGCCCAGACAGAUGCAUGUUUCCAGUGUGGACUAUGGCACAGAUCUACCACUUGCAGCAGAGCAGCCCACUUGCAUUGGCCGGAUCAAGCCUGAGCUGUACAAACAGAAAUCUGUGGACUCUGAGGACCCCAAGAAAGAAGCUGAAAAAACCUGUGGGAAAAUAAAUUUUUCUUUGAAAUACGACUAUGAAAAUGAGACUUUGAUUGUGCGGAUCCUCAAGGCAUUUGACUUGCCUGCUAAGGACCUCUGUGGCAGUUCUGAUCCCUAUGUUAAGAUCUACCUCUUGCCUGACCGAAAACGCAAAUUCCAAACACGAGUGCACAGGAAAACUCUCAAUCCCACCUUUGAUGAAUGCUUUCAGUUUCCUGUGCCCUAUGAAGAGCUGACCAAUAGAAAGGUCCAUCUUAGUGUCUUUGACUUCGACAGGUUUUCCCGGCAUGAUAUGAUUGGGGAGGUGAUCCUAGAGAACCUUUUUGAAGCCUCGGAUCUCUCUCGGGAGACUUCCAUCUGGAAGGAUAUUCAGUACGCUACAACUGAAAGUGUGGACCUGGGAGAGAUCAUGUUUUCCCUUUGUUACCUGCCAACUGCAGGUCGCCUCACUCUAACAGUCAUUAAAUGCAGGAAUCUCAAAGCAAUGGAUAUAACUGGAUACUCAGAUCCGUACGUCAAAGUAUCUUUGCUCUGUGAUGGAAGGAGGCUGAAAAAGAAGAAAACCACUAUAAAAAGAAAUACACUUAAUCCUACCUAUAACGAGGCAAUAAUUUUUGAUAUCCCUCCUGAGAACAUGGAUCAAGUCAGUCUGCUUAUAUCAGUUAUGGAUUAUGACCGGGUUGGCCAUAAUGAGAUUAUUGGGGUUUGUCGUGUGGCAAACAAUGCUGAGGGACUAGGCCGAGACCAUUGGAAUGAAAUGUUGGCUUAUCCACGUAAACCAAUUGCACAUUGGCAUCCACUCGUAGAAGUGAAGAAAUCCUUUAAGGAGCAAUGUCCAGUAACUGGGUUGAAUGUCCCCAAGGCAGUGAUGCCUGUAGCAGAACCAUCCCAUUCCCUUUCUACUAUGAUGCUGCCUUCCUCCAAAUAUUCCAAGUGGCAUGGCCGUGCAGCCAGCUUUGAUAGUCAAGGUUCCUGCCCCUCUCCCAAACCACCUUCAACACCAUGAUCCAUCAAGUGGUGAAUAUUGGGCCUCAACCAAAUUCUUUUUGUUUUGCUCUGAUAUUUUCUCCAUGGGUCUUGAAUUCUAAUUCAACCUAUUGCUGAGUAACAGAAGAAUGAGGAUCAGACAUUCCUUGUUUCCACCAUGAAAAAAGGCACCAAGGCCUUUUACAGUGGUGUUUGUCUUAGUUAUUUCUAUCUAUCAAGGCCGUGUACUUUGUGUUUUUUCACUUUUUGGAUAUGGCUGCUAAAAAGAAGAAAAGAAAAGAAAAAAAGAAGAGAAAAGAAAAGAAAAGGCAUAGGCUGGAACUCUGGCCUAUAAAAUAAUAUGUAAAAUAGUUAUUUGUGUGUAUGUAAAGGAACAAAUAAUAGAGAACUGUUGUACUUCUGCACAUCAGCAUGCAGAUUUAAGAGAGACAGCAGAAUGAAAAUGAGAAGGCCUUGAUUAGGCUCCUUGUGACAUGUGAACACCCUUUUGUUAUUGUGAUCAGUUGAGACAUUACAGCUUUUCUUAUUCAUGCUGUGAUGUUCAUGGAAUCUGUGAAAUACAGCCCAGCCUAUCCUUCUGUAUAUUUUAAAGAAUUGCUAAUUCCUCAGGGAGAAAUGAUCCAUUUUUUGUAGUUGUGUUCUUGAAAGAGCCUUUUGCAUGAAUUCAGCUGCUUAAGGUCCUGUGAACUCCUGUGGCAGUUCUGCACUGAUUACAGAAAUGAAAUUUGUCUCAGAAGAAAACUAAAAGAACAUCUUUCAGUUCCUUAUGGAGAUUUUAAUAACUACUUAUGAAAAUAUCCAUGCCCUGCAUUUUGUUGCAUAGGUUCUCAGAGUGACAGGAAUUGACUGAUUUGAUCUUUGCUCAGAAACCAGGUGAGCUUGGGCCUUAUUAGCAUUUGGUUGGGAGACUACCACAGGAUAUCAGGGCUGCACAUAUCUGAAUGAAACAACAUUAAACUAUUUGCAGAUUGUUGUCAAGGGAACUACAUGGACACAAUCAUCAAGUCACAAGGAGUUACAGCAAGUUUUACUUUCACAAUAGUAAUGGCAGUAUAUGCUAAAAGCCCACUCCGCCCCAAAUCUUGAAGACAUAAAUUAAACAAGCAACAAAAUGAACUCAUGAGAUGAACAUCUUUAAAAAACGGAGAGAAAAAGACUCCAAAGCUCUGUAAAACAAUACUUUAAUAUCAUAUUGCUGUUAUUGUUAUUAUUUAUAAAGAAAGUGUGUCUUCAAAAAGUAAAUUACUUUUAAUUUAAAAAUGAACAAAGUGUUAGGACCUGAUGGCAUUUCUGCAAUAUAUUACAAGCUCUUUCAAUAAUUUUGAUUAAAUCGCUACUCCUGGUAAUGAAUGAAAUUCAACAACAAUCAGGGACUUCACAUCAUGGAAAGAAGCUUUUAUUUCUAUGAUUUACAAGGAAGAAAAUGAUCCAAUUUAUCAAAGUGAUAGAACUUAUUUUCUUAUUGAAUGUACAUCACAAACUUUUUAUCACAAACUUGCAAAGAGAACAAGUGAUUUUCUAGCUGAAUUAAUACAUCCUGACACAAUUUGAUUUGUUCCAAAGAGAUACGUGAGAGACAAUAUCGUAUACAUUGUGAAUGUUGUAAUAAUAUGAAUUAGAACAAGAGAAAUGGACCUUUGUUAAUGCAGAGAAAGCUUUUGAUUAUUUCGAAUGGUCUUCCAUACUUAAAUCUCUGAAGAAGAUAAUUUUUUACAUGAAUACAGAGUAUUUAUAAAGAAUAAGAAAGUCUUAAUAUGUUGAUGAUUUUUUAAUCACAAAAAACUACCCCAAUGAAAGGAACAAAAGCUGUAUCCUGCCUUGUUCAUUAUUCAUAGUGGCAUUGCAAAGAAGAUAUACCAAGAAAUGAAUUUUCAGGAAUUAAAUGCUGCUCAGUAACAUAAACUAAAAUUAUAUGCUGUUGAUGGGGUACUUACACUUACUAGACUAAAGGACACUUUAGAAUUGAUGAUGUUUACCUAUAUUAUUUUUUUAAAAAAAGAAUUGAUGAUGGAAUAUAUAUACCAUCAUGGUUUGACUUCAUGAUAUGAGAUAAAUAAAAUUCAAAUGCUGAGAUAGCUUAAUUGAAGAAGAAAAGCAUCAUUUGUACCACAUAAUCCAUUUUAAUUUCCCUGCAAAACAUGAUAAAAUAUGGCAAUUUACAUGACAAAUAUAAGCAUGUUUAAAAGUACUGUAUAUAUUUGUAGAUAAACCCAUCUGCAGAUUACUCUCAAAUUUUUAACCAAUAUUCCAUGCAAAAUGCAACACACACAAAUUAACUGACCAUCAAUGCUUGUAGGUUUGCAUUUUUGCAAUUGGUUUUUCUAUGGAUGGAACAUAUUUUCAUGGUAUUUUGGUUAAAAAAAUGAGGGUUGGCUUAUAACUGAGGAUAAGUCCAUCCUAAAAUAACUCAAACCCAAUUUAUGUGUGUGGGGUGUUGUUGUUUUGGCACCUAAAAUUCUUGAAUUAUCUGCAGGUAAAUACAGUAAUUAUUCACAGGUCUAUAAAAAUAUAAUGGCAGAUUUUUUUAAGGCCAAAUUUUAAGGUUAUUGCCUUUUUUGGAAAGAAUUUUAGCUGUUGAUAUGAAUAUUCUACUGAAUCUAAAUGUUCAGUUCCAAAUUACUUUAACAAAAAUUGAAAACAAGCUAUUAAACAAUAAUAGAGACAGGGAGAGCCAGUUUGGUACAGUUUGAUACACCAGGUUAGAAAACAGGAAACCUUAAGUUUUAGUCCUCCCUUGAUUACAAAACCAGCUAAGCAACUUUGGGACUGUCAUUCUCUCUUAGCCUUAGGAGAGGGCUUCCAAAACACAGUGCCAAGAAAUAUCCAGGGACUUAAUCUAUAAAUUGAUAGUGACUCUGAACAAGUUAAAAGUUGUAUAAUUAAAUGAACUUACAAUUUAAAUACAAUGACUGAUAUGCAAAAAUGGGAAUUUUAGUCAGAAAAAUAUGAAAUUCACACCCAAUAUCAUAAAGAAAACUGGUAUAAGAUGUCUUAUCGCAGGUAUGUUGACUGCUAAAAUGAUUAGUUCAUUCUCUAAACAUGGUUGAAAUGUAAUGCUCAGAUUGUGUUAUUUUUCCAUAUUUGAUAGCAAUAUGGUAAAGUUUUUAAAUGUUGGAAAAUAAUUUAUAUUGAAUGAAACCAUUUUAAAAGCUGAGUUUCCUUCCAACUUAUUUUUGAUUGAAUAUAUUAUUGCUAAACCUUGCCUUCCCACAAAAUAUAUUGAGUAAGCUUAUGUAUGAUAAUUGCUGCAAGGACACUCUACCCUUCCAACUUGAAAGUGUUCACAGUUCAUUCUAAAGAAAAAUAGCUAAUUAAGCUUUUGGAGUAUGCCUUGAUACCCAAUAUAAUAUGUCAAAAGUAACUCUGACACAGAAUUAAGUUCAACUGGGAAACCAGUUUCAGAUUAAAACUCAAUAUACGGGAUUUUAUCAUAUCUGAUGUGACAUUCAGAUAUCACAUCAUAUCUGAAAUAUGGGUUUAUCCUAACAUAAUCUUCAAUUGCUGAGAUAUGCAUCUGUUAUUUAGAUAUUAAGAAUGGAUUAUAGUUUUUAACAUGAUAUAGUACCGUGAUGGCGAACCUAUGGCACGUGUGCCACAGGUGGCCCGCAGAGCCAUAUCUGUGGGCACGUGAGUGUUGCCCUAGCUCAGCUCCAGCACAUAUGCGUGCACCAGCCACCUGAUUUUCGGCCCUUCCGGGCCCAACAGAAGCCAGGAAACAGGCUGUUUCCAGCCUCCUGAAAGCCUUCGGGGGGGUGGGGAAGGCAGUUUUCAUCCUCCCCAGACUCCUAAAAAGCCUCUGGAUCCUGGGGAGGGCGAAAAAUGGGCCUACCAAGCCCACUGUGCCAAAAGCAUGGGAGCGUGGGGGCGUCACACACAUAUGUGUGUGGGGGGGGCAGGAUGCAUUGAAUUAUGGGUGUGGGCACGCACGCACGCAAACCCCUUGAGCUCCCCCCACUUUUGGCACGUCAUGGCAAAAAGGUUAGCCAUCACUGAUAUAGUAUAUUCAGUUACUUAAAAUUAAUCAGUAAAAUACUGAAAAUGUUAACUGAUUUAAUGUUUGUAAACCCUCUGUUUUACGUUGUGCUUUUUCAUCCUUUCCCCCUUUUUUCUUUUUCUAUGUCUGUGUGUUUUAUUUUUUCCUUAAAAUACUUAAUAAAAAUAUAAUUUAAAAGGUAAACUACUUGAUGACCUACUUUUAAAAAUCCAGAAAUAAGUACCGUGAUCCUAAGGAAUUGCAAAGGAUUGGAGGAGAAUUACAUAAUGCAGAGGCUGAAGCAAGAAUGAGAAAGAAACCCAAAAUAAUCCUGCCUUGAGUUUGUUAGUAGAAUAGAGGACAGAAGGAAAUUUGGUUUUCAGUUUCUGUCAGUUAAGUAGCAUUCUUGGAUUCCUUGUGGUAACUAUUUCUUGAUUUGCCUCAAAGGUCUAACAGGAAUUUACUGUCUCCCUCUACUUUAUCCCAAAAACUGGAGUAAAGAAAUUUAACUGAGUAGCAGCAAACUAAGGAUGUCUUCUAUUAUGUAUACUGCGGCUUACUUAUAUCAGGAAAUGUGCUGCAGAAUAAACUAUCCAGACAAAUUUGGUUUGGGUUGCAAUAUAUCCUUCCAGACAACCACCAUGAAAAGAAGUGUUCGUAAUUCUGAAAAUUACUGUAAUAUGUACUGUAAUCUUUUCGCUGAAAUGAGUUUUAACUAUGAAGUCUAAAUUUGCUUUAGUGAGUAGUUUAUGCUAUCUAGUGACAAGAAAAAAACAUGAUGAAAAUUUGAUGAAGAUAUGGAUAGUCCUUAUGAUCAAAAUUGGGCUGAAAUUUCUGUGCACUUGUUGCAUAAAUUGAGUUGGACUUGAUUUUAUAACAUUUUUAUGGCACUCAUCAAGGAAAUCAUAGCAUUUGCUGUUAAGCAAAUCCAGCUUUCCCAAUGGUGAGGUUUUUUUGGGGGGGGUCAGAAAUCAGCAAAAAAAGGUUGCUGAUAGUCAUAAUAAAAAGACUAUAGGACACUGCAGUCAGCUUAAAAUGUGAGCUGGUUGCCAAGUACCCAAAUUGCAAUCAUGUGACCAUGGAGAUGGUGCAAUGGUUCUAAGUGCAAAUAAAAGUUAUAGGUCACUUUUUCCAAGGCUGUUGUAAUUGUGAACCAUCAUUAAAUGAAGAGUUGUAAGCUAAUAACCAGCUGCAAUGACUGAUUUCGACAAUACAUGUUUCACUAAGCACGUACUGUAUAUGCACUUUGAAUGUAUCUAUCUAGGUUUGGGAGCAAUUUGAAAGUUCGAGCCAUUCUUACAUAUUUUCUAUAUGGAAUGGCGACAGCUCAUUUGGUAAAGCAUAUUAUUUGUAUGCAAAGUGACCAGAAUUCAGUUCAAGAAAGACUGCUAUGGAAAACCUGGAAAAAUCAAUGUAAUAUUAAGCUUCUUGGACCAAUGGUUUGUUUAAUUCAAAGCAAUUUAUUAAGUUCCAUCAUAUAAAUGAAUAUUUCAUAGAAUAUUUCAAACAAACAAACAAACAAACAAACAAAUAAAUAAAUGUCAAUAUGAUGAUCUGACUGUAAACUUAGUCAGUGUUUAGGAAUGCUCCAUAGGAGUAAGCUAUCCUACUCUAUAUUUUAUGUGAUGAUUAAUCAAGAAAACAUUGAUGUUGGUACUAUUGCAUUUUUAACAUAUGAAAACCAAGACAUUAAAUUGCUACUGUGCGGCUUCUUGAUGAUGUCUUUGAAAAAUUUUAGAUGUUAACACUCUGAAGAUAUCCCAUUGAAUCUAAUGUAUGCCUUAUACAUUGAUUUGCCCUUGAAAAAUGGUUAGGAACUCCAGUGGUUGAAAACAAUGGCUUAAUUCCUGACUGGGAGCAUGCAUACAAAAUACAUCUCAUCAACUUUAAACAGUCUUGUAGAUCAUUAAUUAAUUAAUUAAAAGCAAGUUGGAUUAAUACCUUCCUUUGUAGUUUAUAUAAUGAUUGUGAACUAGACAAAGAUGUUGUCCUUUGAUUCUGAAAUGUCUCUUAAUGCAGCUAGUUGUUAUUGAUAAGUACCUUCACUAAGCACUUUUGCUGGUAAAAACACAUCAGAUUUCACAUGCUGUAGAAAUGCAGCUGCUAGAACCUUUCUUUGUGCCUCUGUGAAAUUCUUUUAAGAAUUUUUUUUCUUAUUUAUAAUGUGAUGUUAUAAUUAAUAGUGUCAAUUGUUGUUUUAUCCUAUGUUUGUGCUGCACUUAAUAACAAGCUCACAACAAAUAAAAUUACUACUGCUAUUAAUACUUUUUCUUCAAGAAGAAAUGGAGUCUUAUGCAUUCAGAUGUUUAAAUCUAUCCUUAUAUUAUAAGCCCAAAAGUGUGAGGGUUAAAUGCCCAGAUGACAAGUUGCAUAUUUCAAAGCAUCUUAACCAUAUGUUUGAGUUUGAACAACUGAAA